UACAGAGGGUGCGAGCGUUGUUCGGAAUUAUUGGGCGUAAAGCGCUUGUAGGCGGCUUGUUAAGUUCCGUGUGAAAUCCCCAGGCUUAACCUGGGAAGUGCGCGGAAAACUGGCGAGCUUGAGUGCCGGAGAGGGUCGCGGAAUUCCUGGUGUAGCGGUGAAAUGCGCAGAUAUCAGGAGGAACACCGGUGGCGAAGGCGGUUCUCUGGGCCUGUACUGACGCUGAGGAACGAAAGCGUGGGGAGCGAACAGG
This 253-nucleotide ribosomal RNA is filed under the name uncultured bacterium. RNAcentral's name for it is "partial 16S ribosomal RNA". It matches the Rfam family "Bacterial small subunit ribosomal RNA", at positions 524 to 776 of the family's 1533-position model. The record is from RNAcentral.